GCUAAUGCAGUGUAGGAAGCUGCGGUAGUACAGGGGGGGCAAGGGGUAAUCGGAAUUGCUGGGCGGAAAGGGCACGUAGGUGGGUGGGUAAGUUGGAGAUGAAAUCCCCGGGCUUAACUUGGGAAUUGCAUUGAAGACUGCCUUGCUAGAGUGUGGAAGAGGGAAGCGGAAUUCCAGGUGUGGCGGUGAAAUGCGUAGAUAUCUGGAGGAACAUCAGUGGCGAAGGCGGCUUCCUGGUCCAACACUGACACUGAGGUGCGAAAGCGUGGGGAGCAAACAGGAUUAGAUACCCUAGUAGUC
This 300-nucleotide ribosomal RNA is filed under the name uncultured Vagococcus sp. RNAcentral's name for it is "bacterial SSU rRNA". It matches the Rfam family "Bacterial small subunit ribosomal RNA", at positions 496 to 795 of the family's 1533-position model. Lineage: Bacteria; Bacillati; Bacillota; Bacilli; Lactobacillales; Enterococcaceae. The record is from RNAcentral.